AAAAAGAGGGGGAGACCUUUUUUACAAAGGGACGGCAUAACUCCAAAAAUAAACAGAAAUUGGUGAAGAUUUCUGUUGGAGUAAUGAGGAGGAUGGAUGGCUGCCUUAAACCUGUGAGAGGGAGGUCACUUCCCCUUAAUGUUGAACCUCAAUGGGCAUGUGAAGAACUGUUGGCUGCUGCCAUAAAAAAGCAGAAAGCCUUUAACCAGGACUUGGAAGAUGGUGCCCAUGUCUUGUUGUACCCUGAUGCGAGGGUGAUAACAAAUAUCCCCGGAACGGACACCCCUUUCACAGUACAGAUGUACAAAGAGGCCAUUGGAAAGCCCUACCAACGAAUUACGUUGUACAUCUGUACUCUUGAAGCCGUUGAAAACAGUUGUUACACUGGAACAACCUCUUCAAGUGACGAGGACAGUGUGGUUGUUGCAAAGUUGCCAUCUGGAGACAGUCUUGCUGACACCGUGGUCAGUUUGGAUCUAUCGUGGCAUUUAUUCUUAAUUAAAGUGAAUUUAUUUUAUUUCAGUCAGUCAUUUGUGUGUUGUAUGCAGG
This is a long non-coding RNA of Gymnodraco acuticeps, 549 nucleotides long. RefSeq lists it as uncharacterized. The transcript is spliced from 3 exons. The record is from RefSeq and is a predicted model, not a curated record. Lineage: Eukaryota; Metazoa; Chordata; Actinopteri; Perciformes; Bathydraconidae.